Molecule: unclassified non-coding RNA, 352 nt
Filed under: soil metagenome
Description: partial contains 5.8S ribosomal RNA, internal transcribed spacer 2, and large subunit ribosomal RNA
Rfam family: 5.8S ribosomal RNA (bases 1-120)
Source: RNAcentral
GAUGAAGAACGUAGCGAAAUGCGAUAAGUAAUGUGAAUUGCAGAAUUCAGUGAAUCAUCGAAUCUUUGAACGCACAUUGCGCCCGCCAGUAUUCUGGCGGGCAUGCCUGUUCGAGCGUCAUUACAACCCUCAGGCCCCCGGGCCUGGCGUUGGGGAUCGGCGGAAGCCCCCUGCGGGCACAACGCCGUCCCCCAAAUACAGUGGCGGUCCCGCCGCAGCUUCCAUUGCGUAGUAGCUAACACCUCGCAACUGGAGAGCGGCGCGGCCACGCCGUAAAACACCCAACUUCUGAAUGUUGACCUCGAAUCAGGUAGGAAUACCCGCUGAACUUAGCAUAUCAAUAAGCGGAGGA